GAUGAACGCUGGCGGCGUGCUUAACACAUGCAAGUCGAACGGAAAGGCCCAAGCUUGCUUGGGUACUCGAGUGGCGAACGGGUGAGUAACACGUGGGUGCUCUGCCCUGCACUUCGGGAUAAGCCUGGGAAACUGGGUCUAAUACCGGAAAGGACCACGGUUGGGAUGGGGUGGUGGACAGUGUUUCGGUGUGGGGUGGGCUCGCGGCCUAUCAGCUUGUUUGUGGGGUAAUGGCCUACCAAGGCGUCGACGGGUAGCCGGCCUGGGAGGGUGUACGGCCACCUUGGGCCUGAGGGACGGCCCAGUCUCCUACGGGGGACAGCAGUGGGGAGUAUUGCACAAUGGGGGCAAGCCUGAUGCAGCGGCGCCGCGUGGGGGAUGAAGGCCUUCGCGUUGUAAACUCCUUUCGCUAGGGACGAAGCGCAAGUGACGGUACCGGGAGAAGAAGCACCGGCUAACUACGUG
Molecule: ribosomal RNA, 465 nt
Filed under: uncultured bacterium
Lineage: Bacteria
Description: partial 16S ribosomal RNA
Rfam family: Bacterial small subunit ribosomal RNA
Source: RNAcentral